UACGUAGGGGGCAAGCGUUGUCCGGAAUCAUUGGGCGUAAAGAGCGUGUAGGCGGCUCGGUAAGUCCGCUGUGAAAGUCCAGGGCUCAACCCUGGAAUGCCGGUGGAAACUGUCGAGCUCGAGUCCGGAAGAGGCGAGUGGAAUUCCUGGUGUAGCGGUGAAAUGCGCAGAUAUCAGGAGGAACACCAAUGGCGAAGGCAGCUCGCUGGGACGGUACUGACGCUGAGACGCGAAAGCGUGGGGAGCGAACAGG
Molecule: ribosomal RNA, 253 nt
Filed under: uncultured bacterium
Lineage: Bacteria
Description: partial 16S ribosomal RNA
Rfam family: Bacterial small subunit ribosomal RNA
Source: RNAcentral